Salmo salar (Atlantic salmon) is the source of this 786-nucleotide non-coding RNA. The record is from RefSeq and is a predicted model, not a curated record. Lineage: Eukaryota; Metazoa; Chordata; Actinopteri; Salmoniformes; Salmonidae.
AUUUUUACCUUGUCAGCUCGGGGAUUCAAUCCAUCAAUCUUUUGUUUACUGGCCCAAUACUCUAACCACUAGGCUACCAAACUCAUCAUUUCAAAUGCAUCUAUAACAUCUGAUACAAGUAUUCUAUAUGUAUUAGGUACUACUACGGUGGUAGCAGGUGACCCCUCCUUUAAUAAUCAGAUUUCAUAAAUGUACAGGGUCCAUUUUGACCCAAGACAACAAUCCAGACUAAGAAUUUACCAAAGGUCAGAUCAUAAUGAAUACUAGUAUUAUAUGGACAGAGUCAAUAUGAUCCCAGAUCAGCACUCCUACUGGUGAAUUCUCUCUCUCCGAUAAUCCUUUCUAUAAUUUCAGAUUGACCCCCUGAUCUAUGAUUCGUAGAUGUGGGAGAGGUGAGCACCUAUCAGUUCCUGCUGCUGUCCUUCACCCCUCAGUGCAGACUUCUGACCAUCGCUUAGGCCAGGAAGAAGUCAGCCAAGUUCAUCGCCAUGCAACGCACUACUGAUUGAGGAGACCAUGAGAAGGGAGUAGGCCACCUGACCAACACCAUUGCUGUGUGUGGUUAAAACCUCUCUAGGCUAGGCGUGCCGCUAGCGACCCACCUCGACAACAUCCGGUGAAAUUGCAGAGCGCCAAAUUCAAAUGACAGAAAUAGUCAUAACAAACAUUCAUAAAAAUACAAGUGUUAUAUAUCGACAUAAAGAUUAACUUCUUCUUAAUCCAGCCGCUUUGUCAGAUUUCAAAAAGGCUUUACGGCGAAAGCAUACCAUGCGAUUAUCUGAAGAC